This 467-nucleotide ribosomal RNA is filed under the name uncultured bacterium. Its description in RNAcentral is "partial 16S ribosomal RNA". It matches the Rfam family "Bacterial small subunit ribosomal RNA", at positions 29 to 507 of the family's 1533-position model. The record is from RNAcentral.
ACGAACGCUGGCGGCGUGCUUAACCCCUGCAAGUCGAACGGAAAGGCCCUGCUUUUGUGGGGUGCUCGAGUGGCGAACGGGUGAGUAGCACGUGAGUAACCUGCCCUUGACUUUGGGAUAACUUCAGGAAACUGGGGCUAAUACCGGAUAGGAGCUCCUGCUGCAUGGUGGGGGUUGGAAAGUUUCGGCGGUUGGGGAUGGACUCGCGGCUUAUCAGCUUGUUGGUGGGGUAGUGGCUUACCAAGGCUUUGACGGGUAGCCGGCCUGAGAGGGUGACCGGCCACAUUGGGACUGAGAUACGGCCCAGACUCCUACGGGAGGCAGCAGUGGGGAAUAUUGCACAAUGGGCGGAAGCCUGAUGCAGCAACGCCGCGUGCGGGAUGACGGCCUUCGGGUUGUAAACCGCUUUCGCCUGUGACGAAGCGUGAGUGACGGUAAUGGGUAAAGAAGCACCGGCUAACUACGUG